Molecule: ribosomal RNA, 420 nt
Filed under: bacterium
Lineage: Bacteria
Description: partial 16S ribosomal RNA
Rfam family: Bacterial small subunit ribosomal RNA
Source: RNAcentral
UGGGGGAUAUUGCACAAUGGGCGAAAGCCUGAUGCAGCGACGCCGCGUGGGGGAUGAAGGCUUUCGGGUUGUAAACCUCUUUCGCUAUCGAACAAGGCCCGCUUAGGGUGGGUUGAGGGUAGGUGGAGAAGAAGCGCCGGCUAACUACGUGCCAGCAGCCGCGGUAAUACGUAGGGCGCGAGCGUUGUCCGGAAUUAUUGGGCGUAAAGGGCUUGUAGGCGGCUUGUUGCGCCUGCUGUGAAAACGCGGGGCUUAACUUCGCGCGUGCAGUGGGUACGGGCAGGCUUGAGUGGGGUAGGGGUGACUGGAAUUCCAGGUGUAGCGGUGGAAUGCGCAGAGAUCUGGGGGAACACCGAUGGCGAAGGCAGGUCACUGGGCCAUUACUGACGCUGAGGAGCGAAAGCAUGGGUAGCGAACAGG